RNAcentral lists this ribosomal RNA (2073 nucleotides) under Triticum aestivum (bread wheat). RNAcentral describes it as "partial small subunit ribosomal RNA". Lineage: Eukaryota; Viridiplantae; Streptophyta; Magnoliopsida; Poales; Poaceae. The record is from RNAcentral.
AUGUGGAGGCUGAAGGUGUCGGAGGGUGGCGGGCCGUGGUUGCGGUCGGUGAACAACUUCCUUGGCAGGGCAGUGUGGGAGUUCGACCCCGACCACGGCACGCCGGAGGAGCGCGCCGAGGUUGAUAGAGUCCGCCGGGAGUUCACCCAGCGCCGCUUCCAGAAGAGGGAGUCACAUGAUCUUCUUAUGCGCAUGCAGUAUGCAAAAGAAAAGCAUCUUCAGGUUCAGGUGGAUCAUCCGGCCAUCAAGCUUGUAGAUAUUGCACAAGUCACACAAGAGACCAUAUUAACAUCAUUGAGGCGAGCCCUUAGUCAACACUCUGCUCUGCAAGCACACGAUGGGCAUUGGCCUGGCGAUUACAGCGGAAUUAUGUUCAUUAUGCCCAUCUUGAUAUUUGCUCUACAUGUUACUAGAACACUCAAUACCGUCCUUUCAAGAGAACAUCGGCGUGAGAUUUGUCGCUAUAUUUACAACCAUCAGAAUAAAGAUGGUGGUUGGGGCACACAAGUGUUGGGGCCAAGCACCAUGUUUGGAUCAUGCUUAAACUAUGUUACCCUGAGGCUUCUUGAUGAGGUGGACAAUGAAGCCUUGAUCAAGGGGCGUGCUUGGAUUCUAUUGCAUGGAAGUGCAGCUGCAAUACCACAAUGGGGAAAGAUAUGGCUCUCUGUGGUCGGUUUGUAUGAAUGGUCUGGAAAUAAUUUGAUCAUUCCUGAACUAUGGCUUGUCCCACAUUUUCUUCCAAUUCAUCCAGGACGAUUUUGGUGCUUUUGCCGGUUGAUUUAUAUGCCAAUGUCUUAUCUGUAUGGUAAAAAGUUUGUUGGCCCAAUUACACCAACAAUAUUGGCAAUACGAGAGGAGCUCUAUAGCAUACCAUACCGUGAGGUCGAUUGGAAUAAAGCACGUGAUACUUGUGCCAAGGCACUAAAUAUGAUUUGUUGUUGGAUUGAUGAUCCAAAGUCAGAUGCAUUGAAGUUUCAUAUUCCAAGGAUCUAUGAUUAUUUAUGGCUGGCAGAAGAUGGCAUGAAAGCACAGGUAUACGAUGGUUGUCAAAGUUGGGAGACAGCUUUUAUUAUCCAAGCAUAUUGCUCAACAGACCUUAUUAAUGAGUUUGGCCCAAUACUUCGAAAAGCCCAUGAAUUCAUUAAAAAUUCACAGGUUCUUGAGAACCAUCCUGACAGCAAAACUUAUUACCGCCAUAGAUCGAAAGGUUCAUGGACACUUUCAACAGCAGAUAAUGGUUGGUCUGUAUCAGAUUGUACUGCAGAAGCACUUAAGGCAUUAGUAUUGUUAUCCAAGAUCUCUCCUAAUCUUGUGGGGGAACCAAUAAAAGGAGAAGGGUUGUAUGAUGCAGUGGAUUGCUUACUUUCUUUCAUGAACAAAGAUGGUACCUUUUCUACAUACGAGUGUAAGAGAACUACUUCAUUGAUUGAGGUUCUCAACCCUUCUGAGACUUUUCUGAAUAUUAUGGUUGACUAUCCAUCCGUCGAAUGCACAUCAUCGAUGCUUCAAGCCUUGAUUAUGUUUAGAGAAAUUUACCCGGGGUACCGCAAAGAAGAGAUAGGACAAUGCAUAAAAAAUGCUUCUGUGUUUAUUGAGAAUAGUCAACGAAAGGAUGGCUCAUGGUAUGGCACUUGGGGUAUAUGUUUCACUUAUGGAACAUUAUUUGCUGUACAAGGAUUAAUAGCUUCUGGAAGAACUUACGAAAAUAGUUCCUUCAUACGCAAUGCAUGCAACUUUCUGUUGUCAAAGCAGCUAAAUACAGGUGGAUGGGGAGAGACUUAUCUUUCUAGUGAAACUGAGUCUUACGUGGAUGCCGCUAGUCCUCAUGCAGUCAACACUGCUUGGGCAAUGUUAGCUUUAAUUUAUGCUGGGCAGGUUGAACGAGAUCCCGCACCACUAUAUCAUGCUGCAAAAGAAUUGAUCAAUAUGCAACUAGACACAGGCGAGUUUCCGCAGCAAGAACACAUUGGAUGCUUCAACUGCUCCUUUUACUACAAUUACGGCAACUACAGCAAUUUAUUCCCCAUCUGGGCUCUUGGGGAGUUCCGUCGUCGACUGCAUGAGAAGAACUGA